GGGCUAAUGGUCUAGAGGUAUGAUUCGCCCUUCGGGUUAUUCCGGGAUGCAACGUGGCUUCUCAAUGGGCGAGGCCCCCGGUUCGAUCCCGGGUUAGCCCC
Molecule: non-coding RNA, 101 nt
Organism: Mycena amicta
Lineage: Eukaryota; Fungi; Basidiomycota; Agaricomycetes; Agaricales; Mycenaceae
Source: the annotation of a GenBank genome assembly